AUGUCUGUCGACCGCGGAGGCGCUGGUGCCGUGCUGAGAGCGGCUGCCUAUGCCCCCCGAGCGGGGCUGGAACUCUUCCAAGACGCCCACGUUCGCACAGAGACCCCGGAUCGCGGAAGCUCGCGUCUCGAAAGGCGGUCUCACGCCCUGCCCGUCCUGGGUUCACGGUUUUUCAUCACCUGCGGCUGUCCUGCGAUCGACCACAGCUGUGCAGGAGGUAUCUGUUGCUGCAGUUACCGGAACCUUUGCCAGGACUAGUACAGGACCACGAGUGAGGAUGGUGGGGAAGCCUGCGUGGGGCAGGGAACGGUGAGGCAGGAGGAAGAGGGAAGGGCAGCAGAGGCCUGAGUGGUUGCAGGUUCACACACUGAGCUGCCAGUGACUGCCCAGCUCAAACGGGCUCAAAUUCAGAAGCUACCAUUGCUCCUCACUCCCACCCCCAGGUCAGCUGUCCACUAGCUCUGCCAUGACUUGAUACUGCAGCUCAAACAGUGCCAACCAAAACCCACUCUCCUCACCGCCUGUUAUGGGUAACACGGUAUGGUUACAGCUUUACUCAUGUCCUCUGUCCCCAGGCUG
This 579-nucleotide non-coding RNA is filed under the name Pongo abelii (Sumatran orangutan). Lineage: Eukaryota; Metazoa; Chordata; Mammalia; Primates; Hominidae. The record is from RNAcentral.